This 858-nucleotide ribosomal RNA is filed under the name Triticum aestivum (bread wheat). RNAcentral describes it as "partial small subunit ribosomal RNA". Lineage: Eukaryota; Viridiplantae; Streptophyta; Magnoliopsida; Poales; Poaceae. The record is from RNAcentral.
AUGCCUUUAGAUAUGUAUCAGGAGACGUAUCUGCCUGACGCUCUGACAAUGGUAGCUGCUGGGCAUGCCCACAAAUCAUGCAGUUUGAUGGGCACGAUUGGGGUGCUGACUGAUGCUCCUACAGAAGAUGAUUAUGAACAUCUUUCGGCCUCUACCUGUCAGAUCACAGAGGCUGGACUUGGAGGCCCAAUUAUUGAUCUUGCUGGGAAUUUUGUUGGGAUGAACAUUUGUUUCGAUAGUGAUACAGGAAAGUCUUUGUUUCUACCAUGGAUAUUGCUUCGUCAACGCUUGGAGCAAUAUGAGAUACUCGGUCCUUGGGCAAAACUUCAUGGCAGAAUGACAUCUUAUAGUGCAGGUUUCUCAACGAGAAAAACCAACAAUAGCAGACAGGGAUCUUAUGUACCUCCUCCAGGUGCUUCAAGAAUAAUACCUUCAGGAUUCAUGGAUACUUGGAACUGGAUAGAAUCCAUGGGCUAUCCCAAGCCAGAACCACUUAUGCUGGAAUUGAAUGGGCGCCUGGUUAGGACAUUCGACGAUGUUUUUGGUUGCUUACAUGCUUGGAGAGGUUAUAAAGGUUUCUAUAAUGCAUUUGGUAGUGGGAAGAAUGCCUGGCAGAGACUUGAUAAGAAGAUAGUUGAAACCAUAUCCCGGCGUGUUGUCUCACUUGUUUCAUUCAACGGAAACGGCAUGAGGUUUUUCGUUUGCACAGGCGUCCUUGUAAAGUGUCCUUUGACAAACGGGGGCACACGCACUGUCAUUGUGACUUCAGCCAGUUUGGUUAGAACCUGUGAGGCUACAGACACGAUUGAUGAGAAUAUGAGGGUCGGUUCUGUUAGACUAAUAUGUCACGUAUCGUGA